GGCGAAAGCCUGACACAGCGACGCCGCGUGGGGGAUGAAGGCCUUCGGGUUGUAAACCCCUUUUCUCAGGGAAGAAUAAUGACGGUACCUGAGGAAUAAGUCWCGGCUAACUACGUGCCAGCAGCCGCGGUAAUACGUAGGAGGCUAGCGUUAUYCGGAUUUACUGGGCGUAAAGAGGGCGUAGGCGGUUCUUCAAGUCGGAUGUAAAAUCUCCCGGCUCAACUGGGAGGGAUCRUUCGAUACUGUUGGGCUAGAGGGCAGCAGAGGGAGGUGGAAUUCCCGGUGUAGUGGUGAAAUGCGUAGAUAUCGGGAGGAACACCAGUGGCGAAGGCGGCCUCCUGGGCUGUUUCUGACGCUGAGGCCCUAAAGCGUGGGGAGCGAACAGGAUUAGAUACCCUGGUAGUCCACGCYRUAAACUAUGGACACUAGGUAUGGGGAGUAUCGACCCUCUCCGUGCCGAAGCUAACGCUUUAAGUGUCCCGCCUGGGGACUACGGNCCGCAAGGC
RNAcentral lists this ribosomal RNA (506 nucleotides) under uncultured bacterium 38-3. Its description in RNAcentral is "bacterial SSU rRNA". It matches the Rfam family "Bacterial small subunit ribosomal RNA", at positions 374 to 894 of the family's 1533-position model. The record is from RNAcentral.